RNAcentral lists this ribosomal RNA (479 nucleotides) under uncultured bacterium. RNAcentral describes it as "bacterial SSU rRNA". It matches the Rfam family "Bacterial small subunit ribosomal RNA", at positions 28 to 507 of the family's 1533-position model. The record is from RNAcentral.
GAUGAACGCUGGCGGCGUGCUUAACACAUGCAAGUCGAACGAAGCACUUUUACAGAUUUCUUCGGAAUGAAGUUUUAGUGACUGAGUGGCGGACGGGUGAGUAACGCGUGGGUAACCUGCCUCACACAGGGGGAUAACAGUUGGAAACGGCUGCUAAUACCGCAUAAGCGCACAGUACCGCAUGGUACAGUGUGAAAAACUCCGGUGGUGUGAGAUGGACUCGCGUCCAAUUAGCUAGUUGGUGAGGUAAUGGCCCACCAAGGCGACGAUCGGUAGCCGGACUGAGAGGUUGAACGGCCACAUUGGGACUGAGACACGGCCCAGACUCCUACGGGAGGCAGCAGUGGGGAAUAUUGCACAAUGGGGGAAACCUUGAUGCAGCGACGCCGCGUGGAGGAAGAAGGUCUUCGGAUUGUAAACUCCUGUUGUUGGGGAAGAUAAUGACGGUACCCAACAAGGAAGUGACGGCUAACUACGUG